Molecule: ribosomal RNA, 342 nt
Filed under: Triticum aestivum (bread wheat)
Lineage: Eukaryota; Viridiplantae; Streptophyta; Magnoliopsida; Poales; Poaceae
Description: partial small subunit ribosomal RNA
Source: RNAcentral
AUGAUUUGUGCUUCAAAAUUGUCCAUGAAGUCUGAUACUGGUUGUAUACACCAAUUAGUAAUGCCUUCUAUAGAGAUGGCACAUUACAUGGUCCCUCCUUCCCCCCGUCUCUCUCUGAGUGUGUGUGUGUGUGUGUGUGUGUGUGUGUGUGUGUGUGCACGUGCCCAUGCGUGCACUGACAGCAAUUAUACAUGUGUUCAUGCCCUUAUUGUGUUUGCUUGCCUUCGCUUUGGCUAUUUGAUUAUCGAUCUUGAUAUAGUUUUGUUUUCUUGGUUUAUUUGGUGGUACAUUUUUACUGCUGUAUAUUUUGCGUGUUACUUGGAUUUGCCCUUGGCCCAAUGA